UCAGCCACACUUUGUCACGCUCUGCCUGUACCAACAGUAACACAACUCAGUCUACUAUAAGAUGAUUCCCUGUCGGUAGAAACCCCCCCCCUUGUAGUUCACAUCAUGAACACCAUGAUGCUCUUAUGUUCCAACAAAUCACCCAGCUAUCAUGCAGCCCAUCUAGCUAGUUCAAGAGUACUAGGAGGCUCGCUUAAUCGGUCGAUAACCCCCAAAUGUUCUCUCAGUGAUCAAGUAUGUUGCCAUCUUUCGAGUGAAGAGGGACGUUUAGACAAGUGGCCAUGGUGCAGAGAAUGAGGUGAGAACUGAUAAACAUGUUGUCCUUUUAAAGGGAGGCCACCAAUCAAACAACCACCGACUACUCGACUAGCACCCGUCUUCGUGGAAGCAGUGGUUCAACAUUGAGGUCUCUCCUGGGCUGAAGGGAGAGGUGCCAUGCAGAUUCCCUGACUGGCCUGGCCUGGAGCAAUGGGGGCUGUAGACUUGUUACCGAAGUCGCCUGGAAGCCUCGGUAACCCCAGUGGUCCUCCCCACAUCAGCCUCCGAUUGAGAGCCAACCCUGCUGCUCCUGUAGCACUGGAGCUCCAUGAACUUUUGGCAACAACAUCGAGCCCACAUCUAAAAGGAACAAGGUCAUUCUGUUUGUGAUCAUGUGUUGGGGGAAUUGUGCCCACGUAUUUGUUGAGCAUGUGUAACAUGCAAGUUGUUAAAUGGCGAGACAAUAAUUAAGGCUGAUUGUUCCUUUCAGAUUUUUUUUAUGGUAAAAAGAAAAUUGCCCCAUGACUCGCCUCAUCAAGCCAUUAAGGAGGCAUAUAACUAAAUUAUGAAAUGGUCAUUUGUAAAUGAUUGUUAUUUUUCCAUGACUACUGAAUACUCACUAAUUACAAGAAUGCCAGAAUUACUGUUAUCAUAACCUGUCAAUACAAUCCAAAUACAACUUUUCAUGUGAAUGA
This is a long non-coding RNA of Gadus macrocephalus (Pacific cod), 953 nucleotides long. RefSeq lists it as uncharacterized. NCBI's taxonomy places the organism in Eukaryota, Metazoa, Chordata, Actinopteri, Gadiformes, Gadidae. The transcript has 3 exons. The record is from RefSeq and is a predicted model, not a curated record.